AAGGGAAAAUCCAUAAAGUCCUUCAAAACACCAAAUAAAUGGCCAAGAAAAUUAUGGAAGGUUGGAAAUAAAUUAAGAAGCAUAUAAUAAAUUUUUACGAAUUUAAAAAUACACAAAAGUAUUUUUAAACCAAUUAAAACAAAGGAGAAAAGAGAAAUUCUAUGAAAAAUAGAAAAUAAAUAAAAUAAAAUAUGGAGAAAAAAAUCAGAUGGAGAAAAUAAAGG
RNAcentral lists this long non-coding RNA (224 nucleotides) under Lathyrus oleraceus (garden pea). RNAcentral's name for it is "Pisum sativum (pea) long non-coding RNA (PSAT_LNC038896)". The record is from RNAcentral. Lineage: Eukaryota; Viridiplantae; Streptophyta; Magnoliopsida; Fabales; Fabaceae.